GAUGAACGCUGGCGGCGUGCCUAAUACAUGCAAGUCGAGCGAACGGACGAGAAGCUUGCUUCUCUGAUGUUAGCGGCGGACGGGUGAGUAACACGUGGAUAACCUACCUAUAAGACUUGGAUAACUUCGGGAAACCGGAGCUAAUACCGGAUGAUAUUUUGAACCGCAUGGUUCAAAAGUGAAAGACGGUCUUGCUGUCACUUAUAGAUGGAUCCGCGCUGCAUUAGCUAGUUGGUAAGGUAACGGCUUACCAAGGCAACGAUGCAUAGCCGACCUGAGAGGGUGAUCGGCCACACUGGAACUGAGACACGGUCCAGACUCCUACGGGAGGCAGCAGUAGGGAAUCUUCCGCAAUGGGCGAAAGCCUGACGCAGCAACGCCGCGUGAGUGAUGAAGGUCUUCGGAUCGUAAAACUCUGUUAUUAGGGAAGAACAUAUGUGUAAGUAACUGUGCACAUCUUGACGGUACCUAAUCAGAAAGCCACGGCUAACUACGUG
RNAcentral lists this ribosomal RNA (497 nucleotides) under uncultured bacterium. Its description in RNAcentral is "partial 16S ribosomal RNA". It matches the Rfam family "Bacterial small subunit ribosomal RNA", at positions 28 to 507 of the family's 1533-position model. The record is from RNAcentral.